CUCUCUAUCAGGCUGAUGGCCAGGACUUAAGAAUUCAUAUCCUUUGCACCCGAGGUGUGGCCCCUACUAGAUGUAUACUGCACUGCUGCAGGGAGGCAUGCUGUUACAGACUCUGUUAACUGUUGGGCAGGAUUUUCAGCACUUCCUGCUUAAACGAAUUGCUCCCUUGACAGCAAAUGUCAUUGUUGGAGAACUGAUUGAUGCACUCUAUCAGGGUUGUGG
Molecule: non-coding RNA, 222 nt
Organism: Pelobates cultripes (western spadefoot toad)
Lineage: Eukaryota; Metazoa; Chordata; Amphibia; Anura; Pelobatidae
Source: the annotation of a GenBank genome assembly